Haliotis rufescens (red abalone) is the source of this 502-nucleotide long non-coding RNA. RefSeq lists it as uncharacterized. Lineage: Eukaryota; Metazoa; Mollusca; Gastropoda; Lepetellida; Haliotidae. The record is from RefSeq and is a predicted model, not a curated record. The transcript has 3 exons.
CAUGCAUGCACAGAACAUGCUGUUACACCUCUAUAAAAGAGAACGUGCAGAAGGUAACUUUACGUUUUCUGAGGUUUGCAUUCAUCAGAACCAUCAAAUAUGCAUUUUCUUAAAGUCGCAGUGCUCCUUGUAGCAGUUCUUGCUGCAGUGUUCGGAACCAGCAUGGCCGAGGGUCAUGGUGGUGGUCAUGGUCAUGGUCAUGGAGGUGGUCAUGGAGGUGGAAAGGGUCAUGGCGGCAAAGGUCAUGGUGGUGGCCAUGGGGGCAAGGGACACGGAGGCCAUGGUGGCGGACACGGGGGCAAAGGACAUGGAGGCGGCCAUGGGGGAAAGGGGCACCAUGGAUAAACAUAGCAGCUGAAAGAUGUGUGACGAGAAAGCCCUUGUUUUUUAUUCCACUGCUGCUGGACAACGGGGAAACAACAACUCAUGUAAAACAUGAUGAUCUUGUAUUUUGUUUGACCAGACCUCUGAAUAAAAAUACACUCCAAAGUGUUAAAUCUGA